AUGGUCUCGAUCUCCUCACCUCGUGAUCCAUCCGCCUCAGCCUCCCAAAGUGCUGGGAUUACAUGCGUGAGCCACCGUGCCUGGCCCUCAUGUGUCUUAAAAAGAGGGGUGACUCUGAUGUGGGGUCAUGCUUGAAACUGAGAGGACGAGGUCCCCGACUCUCCAUUGCAGCCAGCUCUCUCUGGAACUAACAGAAAGGCCCCCUGGUAAGGCCAGCCAGCCGGAGGACCACCCCGCAGACCACACGCCCAGGGCCUGGCACCGAGGGGGAGGCCCCGAUCAGCAGGUGAAAGCGACACCCUGAUGACACUGGCUAGUUCACCUUCACUCUGGUCAUCGUUUACUGUACCCCGGGGCAGCUGCUGCCUGAGCCCUAUGACCCCAACCGCCGCAGCCUCUGGCUGCCUCACUGGCCCAUCAUUAAUACGUCGAUGGUGAGCGCACUGGUGUACAGCGAGGGGGCUCCACUUCCGAGACCCCCGGAGAGGCCCGUCCUGGUGGAGUUCACCCUGCUGGAGAUGGAGAAGCGAACCAAGCCUGUCUGUGUGUUCUGGAACCAUUCCCUGGCUUCUAGUUCAUAAGCAACCAGCACAGUACCUGGAAUGUAAGAGGCGCUUGGCUUAUAAAAGAGAGAAGAAAGGAACCCCUUUCACCACGAGGGACGUCAGGCCCAGCUCUCUGUCCCGGGCAUUCAUCUUUGUUCCGGCAAUUAGCUCCAGCUCUAAUGACCUGCUGUCUGCUUUAUGUCGCACCUAUGAUUUCCAGAUUGUAAAGUUUGUGGCAAAUGUAUUAAUGUUCACAUCCCAUUUACAGAUUAGCAAACUAAGGAUCUGAGAGGUUAUGUGAUUUUCCCAGUCUGGCGGGGGGCAGGGCCCUGUCAGAAGCCGAGACACACCUCGUAACAGCUUGUUAUUUGGGGCUUCCCAUCAGUGAGGCAGAAGUCAUAAUGGGGCCCUGGCUUCUGGGCAAUUCCCAUAAAACAUUGUGCCACCUGAAGAUGGAAGUGUCAGAGGAAGUUGAGAUGUUAUUUCUGAAAGCAUCUACCCUCAGAAAGAGACAGGAGUGCAUCGCAGCUGUGUGAACCCCGGGUGGUGGUUCCAGCAGCGGGGCACGUGGUGGACGCAAGAUGGCCCCGUUUGAGUUUUGCUGCUAGAUGACACGUAGAACUUGAACUUCAGAGGGUGCUCCUUGGAGGCCUUGAUGAGACAGACACAGAAGGGAAGGGAGACUGUUCCCAUGGUCCUGCCUCUGCGGCAGCGAGGCUGCUGCUCUUGCAGAUGGGUGGCUGUUCGGUGCAGGGGGCCGGUGAGGAACACGGUGGGGAGCAGCCUGCGAGGGCGCCGGGCUUUCAGCACUCACGAUACCUGCUGUUUGGUUUGGCCAGGAUGGCCUGGGAGUCCCCAGGGCCGGGCAAAGACUGCCCCCAACAGACUUAUGGGCGGAGGGAACCGCCUCACCCCUGCCUCUUCUCCCUUCUCCACGCAGUGUCAGUGGGAUGGGAGGGUGGUCUGCCCGCGGCUUCAAGCUCCUUUCCAGGAACCGGACACAUGUCGUACGCCAGUGCAGCCACACGGCCAGCUUCAAGGUGCUCAUGGACGUCUCCAGGUGUGAGAUGGGCAUCUUCUUGUGGCCACUAUGCCCGCUGAGCCUACCCCCAAACCUGCCCCUCCUCAAACUAAAU
RNAcentral lists this long non-coding RNA (1681 nucleotides) under Pan troglodytes (chimpanzee). RNAcentral describes it as "long non-coding RNA NONPTRT009526". Lineage: Eukaryota; Metazoa; Chordata; Mammalia; Primates; Hominidae. The record is from RNAcentral.